UAAGUUUCUUUAAGUCUCCUUAGUCUAAUAGAUCAUAACCUACCAAUAAAUCUCUUUAAGUAUCCUUAGCUGGGAUAUAUAAUCCAUGCUACCCAGGAGGCUAAGAUCUGAAGAUCAUGGUUCUAAACCAGCCCAAGCAGAAAAGUCUAUGAGACUCUCAUCCCAAAUUAACCACCAAAGAGCCAGAACUGG
Perognathus longimembris pacificus (Pacific pocket mouse) is the source of this 192-nucleotide long non-coding RNA. RefSeq lists it as uncharacterized. Lineage: Eukaryota; Metazoa; Chordata; Mammalia; Rodentia; Heteromyidae. The transcript has 3 exons. The record is from RefSeq and is a predicted model, not a curated record.